GAUGAACGCUAGCGGCAGGCCUAAUACAUGCAAGUCGGACGGGAUUCAGGAGCUUGCUUCUGAUGAGAGUGGCGCACGGGUGCGUAACACGUAUGUAACCUACCUUUAUCAGGGGGAUAGCCUCUCGAAAGAGAGAUUAAGCCCGCAUAAAAUCACAGCACAGCAUUGUGUAAUGAUCAAAUAUUUAUAGGAUAAAGAUGGGCAUGCGGAACAUUAGCUAGAUGGCGGGGUAACGGCCCACCAUGGCGACGAUGUUUAGGGGAUCUGAGAGGAUGGCCCCCGACACUGGUACUGGGACACGGACCAGACUCCUACGGGAGGCAGCAGUAAGGAAUAUUGGUCAAUGGGCGGAAGCCUGAACCAGCCAUGCCGCGUGCAGGAAGACGGCCCUACGGGUUGUAAACUGCUGUUAGACGGGAAUAAACCCAGAUACGUGUAUCUGGCUGAAUGUACUGUAAGAAUAAGGAUCGGCUAACUCCGUG
Molecule: ribosomal RNA, 482 nt
Filed under: uncultured bacterium
Lineage: Bacteria
Description: partial 16S ribosomal RNA
Rfam family: Bacterial small subunit ribosomal RNA
Source: RNAcentral